CCUACGGGAGGCAGCAGUGGGGAAUAUUGCACAAUGGGCGCAAGCCUGAUGCAGCGACGCCGCGUGAGGGAUGACGGCCUUCGGGUUGUAAACCUCUGUUAGCAUCGAAGAAGCGAAAGUGACGGUAGGUGCAGAGAAAGCGCCGGCUAACUACGUGCCAGCAGCCGCGGUAAUACGUAGGGCGCGAGCGUUGUCCGGAAUUAUUGGGCGUAAAGAGCUUGUAGGCGGUUGGUCGCGUCUGCUGUGAAAGGCUGGGGCUUAACCCUGGUUUUGCAGUGGGUACGGGCUAACUAGAGUGCAGUAGGGGAGACUGGAAUUCCUGGUGUAGCGGUGGAAUGCGCAGAGAUCAGGAGGAACACCGAUGGCGAAGGCAGGUCUCUGGGCUGUAACUGACGCCGAGAAGCGAAAGCAUGGGGAGCGAACAGGAUUAGAUACCCCAGUAGUC
RNAcentral lists this ribosomal RNA (445 nucleotides) under uncultured Rothia sp. Its description in RNAcentral is "bacterial SSU rRNA". It matches the Rfam family "Bacterial small subunit ribosomal RNA", at positions 338 to 795 of the family's 1533-position model. The record is from RNAcentral. Lineage: Bacteria; Bacillati; Actinomycetota; Actinomycetes; Micrococcales; Micrococcaceae.